This 710-nucleotide ribosomal RNA is filed under the name uncultured bacterium. RNAcentral's name for it is "bacterial SSU rRNA". It matches the Rfam family "Bacterial small subunit ribosomal RNA", at positions 94 to 823 of the family's 1533-position model. The record is from RNAcentral.
AGCGGCGGACGGGUGAGUAACGCGUGGGUAACCUGCCCUAUACACACGGAUAACAUACCGAAAGGUAUGCUAAUACGAGAUAAUAUAAGAGAUUCACAUGGAUUUCUUAUCAAAGCUGAGGCGGUAUAGGAUGGACCCGCGUCUGAUUAGCUAGUUGGUAAGGUAACGGCUUACCAAGGCGACGAUCAGUAGCCGACCUGAGAGGGUGAUCGGCCACAUUGGAACCGAGACACGGUCCAAACUCCUACGGGAGGCAGCAGUGGGGAAUAUUGCACAAUGGGCGAAAGCCUGAUGCAGCAACGCCGCGUGAGUGAUGAAGGCCUUCGGGUCGUAAAACUCUGUCCUCAAGGAAGAUAAUGACGGUACUUGAGGAGGAAGCCCCGGCUAACUACGUGCCAGCAGCCGCGGUAAUACGUAGGGGGCUAGCGUUAUCCGGAUUUACUGGGCGUAAAGGGUGCGUAGGUGGUCUCUUAAGUCAGGAGUGAAAGGCUACGGCUUAACCGUAGUAAGCUCUUGAAACUGGGAGACUUGAGUGCAGGAGAGGAAAGUGGAAUUCCUAGUGUAGCGGUGAAAUGCGUAGAUAUUAGGAGGAACACCAGUAGCGAAGGCGGCUUUCUGGACUGUAACUGACACUGAGGCACGAAAGCGUGGGGAGCAAACAGGAUUAGAUACCCUGGUAGUCCACGCCGUAAACGAUGAGUACUAGGUGU